RNAcentral lists this ribosomal RNA (2017 nucleotides) under human oral metagenome. RNAcentral describes it as "bacterial LSU rRNA". It matches the Rfam family "Bacterial large subunit ribosomal RNA", at positions 1 to 1999 of the family's 2925-position model. The record is from RNAcentral.
AGAAGAUGGUAAGGGCAAACGGUGGAUGCCUUGGCACAAGAAGCCGAUGAAGGACGUGAUAAGCUGCGAUAAGCCACGGUAAGGAGCACAUAUCCUGUGACCCGUGGAUUUCCGAAUGGGUAAACCCACCAAGAGUCAUUUCUUGGUACUUCCUGCUGAAUAUAUAGGCAGGAUAGAGGUAACCGGGGGAACUGAAACAUCUAAGUACCCCGAGGAAGAGAAAUCAAACGAGAUUCCCCUAGUAGUGGCGAGCGAACGGGGAUAUAGGACAAACCGUCAGUUGCGCAAGCGCUGGCGGGGUUGUAGGACCAUUCAUUGUGGAGUUACAAAACUUCGUGGAAGCAGAAUAGCUUGGAAAAGCUGGCGAGACAGGGUAAAAGCCCCGUACGCGAAUCUGCGAAGACUCCCGAGUGGCACCUGAGUACUGCCGGACACGUGAAACCCGGUGGGAACCUGGGGGGUCCACCCUCCAAUCCUAAAUACUCUCUUGUGACCGAUAGUGAACCAGUACCGUGAGGGAAAGGUGAAAAGCACCCCUAGCGGGGAGUGAAAUAGUACCUGAAACCGUUUGCCUACAAGCAGUCGGAGCAGACUUUUGUCUGUGACGGCGUGCCUUUUGUAGAAUGAGCCAGCGAGUUACGGCAUGUGGCAAGGUUAAGCUAAAAAGCGAGCCGCAGCGAAAGCGAGUCUGAAUAGGGCGAGUGAGUCGCAUACCGUAGACGCGAAGCCAGGUGAGCUAUCCAUGAGCAGGCUGAAGCGGGGGUAAGACCCCGUGGAGGGCCGAACCCACUUAGGUUGAAAACUGAGGGGAUGACUUGUGGAUAGGAGUGAAAGGCCAAUCAAACCUGGAGAUAUCUCGUUCUCUCCGAAAUAGCUUUAGGGCUAGCCUCGGAUGUUUACCAAUGGGGGUAGAGCACUGAAUAGUUGCGGGGGCUUCACCGCCUACCAAGAUUAAUCAAACUCCGAAUACCAUUGGUCUAGAAUCCGGGAGUCAGAAUAUGUGGGCUAAGCUGUGUAUUCGAAAGGGAAACAGCCCAGACCGCCCGCUAAGGUCCCAAAAUCAAUGCUAAGUGGCAAAGGAUGUGCGUUUGCUCAGACAACCAGGAUGUUGGCUUAGAAGCAGCCAUUCAUUUAAAGAGUGCGUAAUAGCUCACUGGUCGAGUGGACAUGCGCCGACAAUAUACGGGGCUAAGCAUUGUACCGAAGCGGCGGAUCAGUACUUUGUACUGGUGGUAGGAGAGCUUUCUGUACGGGUUGAAGCAGUUGGAUAACCAACUGUGGACUGUCCAGAAGUGAGAAUGCUGGCAUGAGUAACGAGAGACAUGUAAAAAACAUGUCCGCCGUAAACCCAAGGUUUCCUGGGCAAGGCUAAUCCUCCCAGGGUUAGGCGGGAGCUAAGGCAAGGCCGGAAGGCGUAGUCGAUGCACAACAGGUAGAAAUUCCUGUCCCUCCAAAAGAGCGUUAUCACCAAUGGGGUGACGGAGCAGGGUAGCUAGGCGGGGUUCUGGACGUCCCCGUGAUGGCACGUAGGCUGAGAAGUAGUGAAAUGCGCUUCUCAUGUGGCUGAGGUGUCGGACGAAGCAAUUGAGUGAAGCUAGUAAGCCCAUACUUCCAAGAAAAACCUCUAGGGAGCUCUGAGGAGCCCGUACCGCAAACCGACACAGGUGGGUGGGUAGAGCAUACCAAGGCGAUCGGGAGAACUAUGGUUAAGGAACUCGGCAAAAUUGCCCCGUAACUUCGGGAGAAGGGGUGCCGGUUUCGGUGAAGGGAUUUACUCCCCGAGCUAAGAUCGGUCACAGUAAAUAGGUCCAAGCGACUGUUUAUCAAAAACACAGGACUCUGCUGAAGUCGUAAGACGACGUAUAGGGUCUGACGCCUGCCCGGUGCCGGAAGGUCACGAGGAGUUGUUAGCAUUAGCGAAGCAGCGAAUCUAAGCCCCGGUAAACGGCGGCCGUAACUAUAACGGUCCUAAGGUAGCGAAAUUCCUUGUCGGGUAAGUUCCGACCUGCACGAAUGG